Molecule: ribosomal RNA, 577 nt
Filed under: uncultured bacterium
Lineage: Bacteria
Description: bacterial SSU rRNA
Rfam family: Bacterial small subunit ribosomal RNA
Source: RNAcentral
AGAGUUUGAUCCUGGCUCAGAUUGAACGCUGGCGGCAGGCCUAACACAUGCAAGUCGAGCGGAUGAUGGGAGCUUGCUCCCGGAUUCAGCGGCGGACGGGUGAGUAAUGCCUAGGAAUCUGCCUGGUAGUGGGGGACAACGUUUCGAAAGGAACGCUAAUACCGCAUACGUCCUACGGGAGAAAGCAGGGGACCUUCGGGCCUUGCGCUAUCAGAUGAGCCUAGGUCGGAUUAGCUAGUUGGUGGGGUAAAGGCCUACCAAGGCGACGAUCCGUAACUGGUCUGAGAGGAUGAUCAGUCACACUGGAACUGAGACACGGUCCAUACUCCUACGGGAGGCAGCAGUGGGGAAUAUUGGACAAUGGGCGAAAGCCUGAUCCAGCCAUGCCGCGUGUGUGAAGAGGGUCUUCGGAUUGUAAAGCACUUUAAGUUGGGAGGAAGGGCAGUAAGUUAAUACCUUGCUGUUUUGACGUUACCAACAGAAUAAGCACCGGCUAACUUCGUGCCAGCAGCCGCGGUAAUACGAAGGGUGCAAGCGUUAAUCGGAAUUACUGGGCGUUAAGCGCGCGUAGGUGGUU